AGGCCUUUCACCACCUCACCUCGCUCCAGCAACUGAGGUUUUGGAGAUGCGACAAGCUGCAACACCUCCCUGCAGGGCUAAACAAGCUGCAGCACCUCAAAAGAUUAGGGAUCUGGAGGUGUCCAGCCCUCCGGUCGCUGCCCAAGGAAGGCCUCCCGAGUUCACUACGAGAAUUAGAUGUCGAGGAUUGCGGUACCAAGGAGCUAACAGAGCACUGCAAGCAAUUAAGGGGAACCAUCCCAAAAGUCACACUAUAGACAAAUCCAAGCUGGUCUCUCUGUCUUUGAGUUGUACAUUCUACGAGUCUUGUGGAAUUCUCUCCAUCUAUGGACAGUUGGCGCAUGAGGGUCCUGUGUGGUAUUUUCUUCCUGUACGUAAAUCUGGUUUUCUUGUGUUAAUCCUGGUAGGCUUCUUGUAUUUUGCAUAACCAGUAGCUGCCAAAAGAGAGAUAGUCAAAGAAACAAGAGAAGGAAGAAGAGAAAGUCCCAUUUCUUCAUCAAGUCGACGGACAGAGUCACACAAGGUUGCAAAUGAAAAUUGCAGUCUCUUCAGUAUUAGUUCAGAGGAGCAGUGGAUCUGCAGAGAUUUUGCAGAGAGUGGUAGUUUCAGAACAGUGCAGUUUUGACAAAGUGUCAUUUGAGUGGUGAAAACAGUGUUAGGAUGGAACAUUGAUAGGUUGCACAGCAGCGAUGCUCUCAGUGCUUAUUUUGGCAUUGAUUUGUGAGAACAGCGGUUAAUCAGGAACCAUCCUGAAAAUCAUACUAGAGUACCAAGAUUCUCUACCUUGGGAGCUGUACAGUUUUUAGCCUUGCUGAAUCUUCCCCAUCCACACAAAGUCUGCACAUGAGGAUCUUGUGUUGUAUCUUCUUAUUGUACAUAGUACUUAAAUCUGGUGCUCUUAUGCUUGUUCUGGUUGGUUUCAAGAUACUCUGCAGUUACAUUUGGUCAUCAUUCACCAAAACUUGCUGGUGUACCUGUUCAGCUGUGAGGAUCAUAACUGGGGAAUAACUGAUAUUUUGCAGAUUUGCUAUAGAAAUUAAGGAACUUUUUACAAGAAUACCUUUCUAACCAUCUCAGUGCUUGCGUCGAGUAAACUGAGAUCUCGGGCUUUCACUAAUUGACUGAACUAAGCUUCUUGGUUGCUCAAUAGACGUGGCCUGUGGAGAACUUUGGAAUUCAACAAUGCAGUGGUAGCAAAUUGAGGAAAGGUCAGUAAACCCCUGCUGAAAUUCAUGAUGGGUUUAGCUAAGAUAGAUUGUAUUCAAUGUGUAAUUGUCGAACUCUUAUUGCCUCAUGAGACCUAGGUUAGAGAAUUCCUGCUUUCUUGAUAAGUUGGCAGCCUAGCUUUUGAGCACUCUCGUAAUCUAUGAAUGGUUGUCAUGCUGAACUAAAUAACACAAGAGAGUUUUCAGCUGAUACAUAUAGUCAUAAAGGUAGAGAACACUUGUUACUAGGUGAUUGAUGAACAUUGAUUGACCAAAAAGACUUGAGCUUGCUAAUUUUUAUUCCUAGAACCUCCUCAAUUUAGUAUGGUGAAGGUGAUUUUAUUCUCUUCUUGAUCUGGAGUAUUUUUUCUGUCCCACCAAUGCCAAAAACAGCAGGUUUCAUUAGCCUUUGAUUAUUGCAAUCUGAAUUUUUAGUGUGUAUUGUUAAGUUUGAUGUUCCUCUAGUCCGAAGUCUUUGAAAUCCAGUCACUCUUUUUGCGUAACUUAUGUCUGCUAGCCUCUUCAACACUCAGCAUUGCAUUCCUUCAUCGGGAUAUCACAAGCUCUACCGGUGUACAUAUUGAAAUCCCAGAAAAUAAACCAUUUCUUCCGUGUGUUCACACCAUACCUACCUAUCUACAUACCACAUCUCUCUCUGUCCCACAGUAGUUGAUUAUUCCAUAAGCACACUCAUCAAGUUAAAGAAGACUCAAAAGCGCUUUGUUGUCAUUGACCCUGCAAAUUUCAUCUUUAUGAAGAGCUAUAUUCGUCAAUAUUGAUGCCUCUCUCAUCUCUCACAAAAAUAAAAAAAGAAAUAAAGAAAAAGAGUGAGGGCUGCCAUUCAAAAGGUCAAAGUUUCAUUCUCAAGCAGGAAGAAAUAAUCAGCAGUGCUUCCAUAUUCAUGUGCAGAAUGCAGAAUGGUUAAUCAAACUACUACCUAUGCAAUAUUGAUAGCCUCUCAAACAUUUUUUGGCGUGAGUCCAUUCCCUCCCACAUCCCCUGGGCAGUACCUUUCUCCAAUGACUGGAACGUGAAGACUUCUUUGUACUAGAGUUGAACUCUUAUUUAGCUUUACAAUCUUGAUUUCAGAUUUGCUCAUUGUUUGAAUUACCCAACCAAGCUCCAGAUAAGCUUUCCACAAAUAUAAAGUAGAUAGAAAAAACUUCGGCCACUGGCCAGUGAGGACUAUAAUUAAGUGAUGAGAGUAAUUCCGGAUCAUGAUGAGGUAAUCUCACUAGAUACCUGCUCUUGGAAGGUUCAGAAAGGAAUAAAAUUGUUGGCUUCUCCUGUUCUCUUUUGUUCUUGAUAUUGAAGUCAAACCUCCUAGUGACUUGUGUCCAAAACUGGAUUACUAUAUUGUUGAUGCUGGUCACUCUCAAAAAAUGAAAUAUACUCCCUCCUUUCCUAAAUAAUUGUCUUUCUAGAGAUUUCAACAAGUGACUACAUACGGAGCAAAAUGAGUGAAUCUACACUUUAAAACAUGUCUACAUACAUCCGUAUGUUGUAGUCCAUUUGAGAUGGCUAGAAAGACAAAUAUUUGGGAACGGAGGGAGUAUUACCUACUGGCAAUGAAUACGAGUAGUUAUUUAAGUGUGUGCUCAACUGCUAGCUUGCUACUUUAAUAAGUUUGCAGGAAGUGCCUCGACCCGAAGUUCAUGAGGGUUUCAAUAAUUGUUUGCACAUGGGCACUUGUUUGCAAUCUAGCUAUGCUAAGCUUUCAGGUAUUUCACAAGCACAUUGGCAAGUUGAAUCAGGAGCCUCAAUCAUUUGGCCGCGAUCUGAGACUCUUUUUCUCGAGGGAAGAAUCAGAAAGGGAGAAUCCUGAGAUGAAUCAUACCUUUUUAGUUUCUCUUUGUAGCCACUUUCUCCCUAAUAAUGCUAUAA
Triticum aestivum (bread wheat) is the source of this 3089-nucleotide long non-coding RNA. RefSeq lists it as uncharacterized. The record is from RefSeq and is a predicted model, not a curated record. The transcript has 7 exons. NCBI's taxonomy places the organism in Eukaryota, Viridiplantae, Streptophyta, Magnoliopsida, Poales, Poaceae.